AAUUUGAAAUCUGGCGUCUUUGGCGUCCGAGUUGUAAUUUGAAGAAGGUAUCUUUGGGCCCGGCUCUUGUCUAUGUUCCUUGGAACAGGACGUCACAGAGGGUGAGAAUCCCGUGCGAUGAGAUGGCCCGGGUCUAUGUAAAGUUCCUUCGACGAGUCGAGUUGUUUGGGAAUGCAGCUCUAAGUGGGUGGUAAAUUCCAUCUAAAGCUAAAUAUUGGCGAGAGACCGAUAGCGAACAAGUACAGUGAUGGAAAGAUGAAAAGAACUUUGAAAAGAGAGUGAAAAAGUACGUGAAAUGUUGAAAGGGAAGGGCUUGAGAUCAGACUUGGUAUUUUGCAAGUUACUCUUUCGGGGGUGGCCUCUGCGGUUUACCGGGCCAGCAUCGGUUUGGAGCGGUAGGAUAAUGGCGGGGGAAUGUGGCACGACUUUGGUUGUGUGUUAUAGCCUCUGACGAUACUGCCAGCCUAGACCGAGGACUGCGGUUUUUACCUAGGAUGUUGGCAUAAUGAUCUUAAC
RNAcentral lists this ribosomal RNA (516 nucleotides) under [Candida] sp. 448. RNAcentral's name for it is "eukaryotic LSU rRNA". It matches the Rfam family "Eukaryotic large subunit ribosomal RNA", at positions 112 to 644 of the family's 3401-position model. The record is from RNAcentral. Lineage: Eukaryota; Fungi; Ascomycota; Saccharomycetes; Saccharomycetales.